UACGUAGGGGGCAAGCGUUGUUCGGAAUUACUGGGCGUAAAGGGCGCGUAGGCGGCACAGCAAGUCGGGAGUGAAAGCCCGGGGCUCAACCCCGGAACGUCUUUCGAAACUGCUGAGCUCGAGUGCGGAAGAGGCAACUGGAAUUCCCAGUGUAGCGGGUGAAAUGCGUAGAUAUUGGAAGAACACCUGAGGCGAAGGCGGGUUGCUGGGCCGACACUGACGCUGAGGCGCGAAGCCAGGGAGCAACGGG
RNAcentral lists this ribosomal RNA (250 nucleotides) under uncultured bacterium. RNAcentral's name for it is "partial 16S ribosomal RNA". It matches the Rfam family "Bacterial small subunit ribosomal RNA", at positions 524 to 776 of the family's 1533-position model. The record is from RNAcentral.